This 468-nucleotide ribosomal RNA is filed under the name uncultured bacterium. Its description in RNAcentral is "partial 16S ribosomal RNA". It matches the Rfam family "Bacterial small subunit ribosomal RNA", at positions 28 to 507 of the family's 1533-position model. The record is from RNAcentral.
GACGAACGCUGGCGGCGUGCUUAACACAUGCAAGUCGAACGGAAAGGCCCUGCUUUUGUGGGGUGCUCGAGUGACGAACGGGUGAGUAACACGUGAGUAACCUGCCCUUGACUUUGGGAUAACUUCAGGAAACUGGGGUUAAUACCGGAUAUGAGCUCCUGCUGCAUGGUGGGGGUUGGCAUGUUUCGGCGGUUGGGGAUGGACGCGCGGUUUAUCAGCUUGUUGGUGGGGUAGUGGCUUACAAAGGCUUUGACGGGUGGCCGGCCUGAGAGGGUGACCGGCAACAUGGGGAUGGAGAAACGGCCCGACUCCCACCGGGAGGAAGAGGGGGGGAAUUUGGACAAUGGGGCGGAAGCCGGAGGAGGCAACGCGGGGUGCGGGAGGCGGGCUUCCGGUUGGAAAACCGCUUUCGCCGGGGCCGAGCCGGGAGUGACGGUACUUGGUAAAGAAGCACCGGCUAACUACGUG